Molecule: long non-coding RNA, 1121 nt
Filed under: Manacus vitellinus (golden-collared manakin)
Lineage: Eukaryota; Metazoa; Chordata; Aves; Passeriformes; Pipridae
Description: lncRNA (ENSMVIG00005018516.1)
Source: RNAcentral
AGCACAUGGUGCCUGUGCAGCAUCAGGACACAGAUGCUAGUGACAAACUGGCUCCUGCCUCCCUCCUUGGGGGGUGUAAAAUGCAGAAAACCACAGAAGCUCUUCGAGUGGGUGCAGGACAGCAGAGAACUGCCUCCUUCAGCACCACUCCUGCACACCCUGAUCUUCCUGCAGCUCCAUGGGGAGGAACACUAUCAAGAGACCAAAUGCCUUGGGAUCCCUCUGAUGUAUCCAGAAACACCCAGAUGCCAGAAGGACAGCAAUGGAAACACGCUGAGCUGGGACCUCCCUGGGCAAUGGAGUACUUUCCCCUCAGGAGCUGCCAUCUCAUCUUUCGGGAUGGGUCUGGGGUGUUUUACCUUCCGCUGCAUGCUGACAUUAAAACCAACAUCUGGUGCAACUGGACCAUCUGGGCAGGCCCCCAGAAGCACAUUGUCAUCUAUGUCCAGGGAUUUGAGGGGAGCGACGGCUGUGGCAGCAACCAGGACAAGAUCGUCUUCCAGGGGGUCUCAUCAAGUGUGGAAACCAAAGUGGUGUAUGCCUGCCACAACCGAGGCACUCUGGUCUUUGCUACGCAAGCUACUGAGGUCCAGGUGUUGUUUCUGUCAGGGAGUGGCUCCCAAAGCCAUGAAUACAAAUAUUUUAAGGGACAGUAUUACAUAUUCAGAGACUCUGAAGCUGUGGGCUCUUCAAACGAUACCACAGCAGCUCCCCGAGAGCCUGUCCAGGAGACCUCUAGAAAAGAGAGCUGGAGGACAGUGGCAACAAAAGGUUUAGUGUCCAUGCUCAGUGCCUCUCUAGGCCCACCAGCUGCACCUGCCAGUGGCAGGAUUCAGCCUGAUCUUGUGAGCCCAGGUGGAAAGGCCCAACACCCUUCUGAUCUCACAGAAGAUGCUCAGUUUGGUACUAACCUGAGCAAGCUUGACCUGAGUGAGCAUGGUCAGCUGAAGGAUGAAACCAAGCUGGAAAAGAGCCCUCAGGAUGGUAGCACUGAGGGCAGAGAAACUGAAGAUGAUGUGUUGGUGGAGGCAGCUCCAGCUGGGCAAGACACUGGGUGUAAAGCUGAGCCAUCUGCCUUGGGGCUGACCGAGGGGGAUGUAGAGCCAGUAGCUGCCCUGGCC